CCCUUAGAUGUUCUGGGCUGCACGCGCGCUACACUGGUGCGUUCAGCGAGUUUAGCACCUUAACAGAUAUGUUUGGGUAAUCUUCUGAAAACGCACCGUGAUGGGGAUCGAUUAUUGUAAUUAUUAAUCGUCAACGAGGAAUUCCUAGUAAGUGUGAAUCAUCAGUUCGCGCUGAUUACGUCCCUGCCCUUUGUACACACCGCCCGUCGCUCCUACCGAUUGAGUGGUCCGGUGAGGCUUUGGGAUCUGAGCGGAAAGAGCGUUUCGCUGUUUCUGCUCGGAAAACUCAGUCGAACCUUAUCAUUUAGAGGAAGGAGAAGUCGUAACA
This 328-nucleotide ribosomal RNA is filed under the name uncultured eukaryote. Its description in RNAcentral is "partial 18S ribosomal RNA". It matches the Rfam family "Eukaryotic small subunit ribosomal RNA", at positions 1470 to 1796 of the family's 1831-position model. The record is from RNAcentral.